Molecule: long non-coding RNA, 467 nt
Filed under: Equus caballus (horse)
Lineage: Eukaryota; Metazoa; Chordata; Mammalia; Perissodactyla; Equidae
Description: lncRNA (ENSECAG00000059451.1)
Source: RNAcentral
CAGCUGCAUCAAGAGGCAGACAGAGCCCAGAACUCCAGCUCCGUGCUGUGGCCCCCGCCUGGGCCGGGUCUGCCCUGUCCACUCCCUUCCAGCCUGGAACCCUCACAGGGCCCAGGUGGACAUGCUGAUUCCAGAGCUGGGGACACCCCGGGGGGCCUACGGCUGACGAAUUUCCAAACUGCGGGUGCCCCCUGAAGACAGAGAGGAGGCUGCGGGCCAGGACCCCCGCUCCACAAGAGCAUUUUCAUGUGCACCCGACCCACAUCUGGGCUGUGUAACGUCCGAGAGAAUUCUCUAGAGAUUCAUCCAGGUCGUGUGUACUCGCCGUUCCUUCCUGAUCACUGCUGCGUAGUAUUCCACAGCCGGGAUGUGCCACUGUUUGUCGAUCCAUUCACCUGCGUGCAGAAGGACAUCUGGGUCGUGUCCAGUUUUGGGACAUUAGGAAUAAAGCUCCUGUAAACAUUCAC